This 425-nucleotide ribosomal RNA is filed under the name uncultured bacterium. Its description in RNAcentral is "bacterial SSU rRNA". It matches the Rfam family "Bacterial small subunit ribosomal RNA", at positions 354 to 796 of the family's 1533-position model. The record is from RNAcentral.
GUUAGGAAUAUUGGACAAUGGGCGCAAGCCUGAUCCAGCCAUGCCGCGUGAGUGAUGAAGGCCUUCGGGUUGUAAAGCUCUUUAGCCGAUGAUUAUAAUGACUGUAGUCGGAAAAUAAGCCCCGGCUAACUUCGUGCCAGCAGCCGCGGUAAUACGAAGGGGGCGAGCGUUAUUCGGAAUCACUGGGCGUAAAGCGUGCGUAGGCGGCUUUGCAAGUUGGGAGUGAAAGCCCGGGGCUCAACCCUGGAAUUGCUCUCAAAACUGCAAGGCUCGAAUUCGGGAGAGGAUAGCGGAAUUGUCAGUGUAGCAGUGAAAUGCGUAGAUAUUGACAGGAACACCAGUGGCGCAAGCGGCUAUCUGGACCGAUAUUGACGCUGAGGCACGAAAGCGUGGGGAGCAAACAGGAUUAGAAACCCCGGUAGUCC